CCUUACCUGGUCUUGACAUCCACAGAACUUUCCAGAGAUGGAUUGGUGCCUUCGGGAACUGUGAGACAGGUGCUGCAUGGCUGUCGUCAGCUCGUGUUGUGAAAUGUUGGGUUAAGUCCCGCAACGAGCGCAACCCUUAUCCUUUGUUGCCAGCGGUUAGGCCGGGAACUCAAAGGAGACUGCCAGUGAUAAACUGGAGGAAGGUGGGGAUGACGUCAAGUCAUCAUGGCCCUUACGACCAGGGCUACACACGUGCUACAAUGGCAUAUACAAAGAGAAGCGACCUCGCGAGAGCAAGCGGACCUCAUAAAGUAUGUCGUAGUCCGGAUUGGAGUCUGCAACUCGACUCCAUGAAGUCGGAAUCGCUAGUAAUCGUAGAUCAGAAUGCUACGGUGAAUACGUUCCCG
This 407-nucleotide ribosomal RNA is filed under the name bacterium BM40. RNAcentral describes it as "bacterial SSU rRNA". It matches the Rfam family "Bacterial small subunit ribosomal RNA", at positions 969 to 1376 of the family's 1533-position model. The record is from RNAcentral.